GAUUGAACGCUAGCGGGAUGCUUUACACAUGCAAGUCGAACGGCAGCGCGGACUUCGGUCUGGCGGCGAGUGGCGAACGGGUGAGUAAUGUAUCGGAACGUGCCCAGUAGCGGGGGAUAACUACGCGAAAGCGUAGCUAAUACCGCAUACGCCCUACGGGGGAAAGCAGGGGAUCGUAAGACCUUGCACUAUUGGAGCGGCCGAUAUCGGAUUAGCUAGUUGGUGAGGUAACGGCUCACCAAGGCGACGAUCCGUAGCUGGUUUGAGAGGACGACCAGCCACACUGGGACUGAGACACGGCCCAGACUCCUACGGGAGGCAGCAGUGGGGAAUUUUGGACAAUGGGGGCAACCCUGAUCCAGCCAUCCCGCGUGUGCGAUGAAGGCCUUCGGGUUGUAAAGCACUUUUGGCAGGAAAGAAACGUCGCGGGCUAAUACCCCGUGGAACUGACGGUACCUGCAGAAUAAGCACCGGCUAACUACGU
Molecule: ribosomal RNA, 484 nt
Filed under: Achromobacter sp. 'ARUP UnID 1'
Lineage: Bacteria; Pseudomonadati; Pseudomonadota; Betaproteobacteria; Burkholderiales; Alcaligenaceae
Also listed under: 2 other names
Description: bacterial SSU rRNA
Rfam family: Bacterial small subunit ribosomal RNA
Source: RNAcentral